RNAcentral lists this long non-coding RNA (1041 nucleotides) under Cricetulus griseus (Chinese hamster). RNAcentral describes it as "lncRNA (ENSCGRG00015037605.1)". The record is from RNAcentral. Lineage: Eukaryota; Metazoa; Chordata; Mammalia; Rodentia; Cricetidae.
GUCAACUGGUUGUUAUGACUCAUAGGCCCUCCCAGAAUGGUUGUUAUGCUCUGCAAGUCACUGCUGGGCACUUGUCCGUAAACCACACCCAGAGUUGUAAAGCAUAGCCCCAAUAGCUAACUUCUCUGAUUGGUUCCAUGCCAUGAUGUGGGCAUCUGACCUCCUAGUGACCAAAGCAAGGUCAGGCAAGCACGUGUUAGCCUGUCAUGGUUGCCAAAAUGGGGGGGUCCCUUUGAUGCCUUUAAUCCCUGCACUAGGGAGAUGGAGACAGGAGGAUAUGGCUGGAUGGAAAAAAGAAUAUAAGGAGGAGGAGACAGGAAUUAAGAAACUUUUGCCUCUGAAGAUUCGUGGAGACAGGGUUGCCAUUUCAGCUGGGUAGAGGUGCUGGGAUUCUACUCAGGUCCUUACACUUGCACAGCAAGCACUCUACCGACAGAACCCUUAUUCUCUCCAGGAGGUUUAAAAUGAACCAACUUACGGCAACUCAGAACUUUCUGCUUGCUGUGGGAUCCAGGACUAUCCUCUGAGUUCAGAGAUGGUGACUCCAGGAAUAUCAUCUAUUAAGCGGUGAAUUAUCAAUACGUAACCAGACUAAGUUAAAUCAUCAUGUGGCCUCCAGAUAAAUGAAGAGAGACAAGAGCCAAAGUCCAGCUCCAGCUGGCAUCCAGUUUACAGGAUACCAUGUAUUGAGAGGACUACUUUCCCAGCUGAAUUUCCAAGAGACCUUCCUUGUAUUGGACAUUAUUCCCAGACAUGAAGUUCUGCCUGUAGAUUCUGUUCAGACAGUUCCUACAUCAACAUGACCCUUAAAAUGCCAUGUGAGAGUUUGCCUUUACAGUACAUUAAAAGGAUUCCUAUGAAAUUAAUCUUUUUACUCCAUAAGUGUGUGGAUGAAAGCUUUCCAGCUCAAAAUGUUUUCUUCUGGGGAAGACUUCAAAACAUGAAUCCAAUUUCUUUAUUGUAUGUAGAGUUGCUUAGAUCUCAGUUCACUUUUAUCGGUUUUAAUAUUUUAAAAUAAAGUUAGUAUAUUUCAUAAACCCA